CAUGUGGACUUUGGCUUGCAGUGCAAGGGAACACCCACCUGGCAGAGCCCAGAGCCCAGCUGCACGCCACCUGCUCCCGCCUCCAUCACACUUACAUAAGGGAAACACGGAGGGGGCCAGGGCACAUUUAACCCAGAAAUCCUCACGUGACCACGUGGAUCCGAAGCAGAGCAGACCUGGCUCUGCUUUCCAUCCCACGCGUAGCCACAUCUGGGAAGCAAAUCAAAGAGGGGACACUGCACAGCGAGAGCCUGGGGAGCCUGCGGAACUGAAGGACCAAGGCAGCAGUUGCCUCUUUACCCGUCCUUUGCUUGGGUAGCUCUGCCGCCUCAUGUACUCAGCUGGGGAGGCGGCCAUGCCAGGCACCUGGCGCAGUUACAGAAAUCCUCUUAAUGCUGAAAACAAGUGCCUUGUUCUUGGAGCACCACAGAAGGGAAGAUGGCUCUUUCUGGGAGAGUUUUACCUGCAGUAAAGU
Columba livia (rock pigeon) is the source of this 475-nucleotide long non-coding RNA. RefSeq lists it as uncharacterized. The transcript is spliced from 3 exons. The record is from RefSeq and is a predicted model, not a curated record. NCBI's taxonomy places the organism in Eukaryota, Metazoa, Chordata, Aves, Columbiformes, Columbidae.